RNAcentral lists this ribosomal RNA (886 nucleotides) under Gliocladiopsis sp. CBS 112365. Its description in RNAcentral is "eukaryotic LSU rRNA". It matches the Rfam family "Eukaryotic large subunit ribosomal RNA", at positions 59 to 978 of the family's 3401-position model. Lineage: Eukaryota; Fungi; Ascomycota; Sordariomycetes; Hypocreales; Nectriaceae. The record is from RNAcentral.
AAGAAACCAACAGGGAUUGCCCUAGUAACGGCGAGUGAAGCGGCAACAGCUCAAAUUUGAAAUCUGGCCUUCGGGUCCGAGUUGUAAUUUGUAGAGGAUGCUUUUGGUGCGGUGCCUUCCGAGUUCCCUGGAACGGGACGCCAUAGAGGGUGAGAGCCCCGUCUGGUUGGAUACCAAUCCUCUGUAAAGCUCCUUCGACGAGUCGAGUAGUUUGGGAAUGCUGCUCUAAAUGGGAGGUAUAUGUCUUCUAAAGCUAAAUACCGGCCAGAGACCGAUAGCGCACAAGUAGAGUGAUCGAAAGAUGAAAAGCACUUUGAAAAGAGAGUUAAAAAGUACGUGAAAUUGUUGAAAGGGAAGCGCUUGUGACCAGACUUGGGCUUGGUUGAUCAUCCUGGGUUCUCCCUGGUGCACUCUUCCAGUCCAGGCCAGCAUCAGUUUGCUUCGGGGGAUAAAGGCUUCGGGAAUGUGGCUCCUUCGGGAGUGUUAUAGCCCGUUGUGUAAUACCCUGAGGCAGACUGAGGUUCGCGCUCUGCAAGGAUGCUGGCGUAAUGGUCAUCAGCGACCCGUCUUGAAACACGGACCAAGGAGUCGUCUUCGUAUGCGAGUGUUCGGGUGUUAAACCCCUACGCGUAAUGAAAGUGAACGCAGGUGAGAGCUUCGGCGCAUCAUCGACCGAUCCUGAUGUUCUCGGAUGGAUUUGAGUAAGAGCAUACGGGGCCGGACCCGAAAGAAGGUGAACUAUGCCUGUAUAGGGUGAAGCCAGAGGAAACUCUGGUGGAGGCUCGCAGCGGUUCUGACGUGCAAAUCGAUCGUCAAAUAUGGGCAUGGGGGCGAAAGACUAAUCGAACCUUCUAGUAGCUGGUUUCCGCCGAAGUUUCCCUCAGGA